GUGAGGAAUAUUGCGCAAUGGAGGCAACUCUGACGCAGCCAUGCCGCGUGCAGGAAGAAGGCGCUACGCGUUGUAAACUGCUUUUAACCGGGAAGAAACCCCAGGACGUGUCCUGGGUUGACGGUACCGGAGGAAUAAGCACCGGCUAACUUCGUGCCAGCAGCCGCGGUAAUACGAAGGGUGCAAGCGUUAUCCGGAUUCAUUGGGUUUAAAGGGUGCGUAGGCGGAGCGUUAAGUCAGUGGUGAAAUCCUGCAGCUUAACUGGAGACUGGCCAUUGAUACUGGCGCUCUUGAGUGCGCUUGAAGUGGGCGGAAUGUGCCGUGUAGCGGUGAAAUGCUUAGAUAUGGCACAGAACACCAAUUGCGAAGGCAGCUCACUAAGGCGAUACUGACGCUGAGGCACGAAAGCGUGGGGAUCGAACAGGAUUAGAAACCCUUGUAGUCC
This 445-nucleotide ribosomal RNA is filed under the name uncultured bacterium. RNAcentral describes it as "bacterial SSU rRNA". It matches the Rfam family "Bacterial small subunit ribosomal RNA", at positions 354 to 796 of the family's 1533-position model. The record is from RNAcentral.